RNAcentral lists this long non-coding RNA (2897 nucleotides) under Cricetulus griseus (Chinese hamster). Its description in RNAcentral is "lncRNA (ENSCGRG00015038002.1)". Lineage: Eukaryota; Metazoa; Chordata; Mammalia; Rodentia; Cricetidae. The record is from RNAcentral.
CGCACAGAGCUCUAUGAAAAUGCCAGGGAAGGACAGUGAAGUCAGACCAGGAAAGCAACAGGGCAUGCUUUCAGAAAAUAAGGCUUGAAUUAUUUUUUGACACAAAUAGGUGUCAGCCAACUUCCAAGUGGAGAGAGGAGAGCGAUCCCAGCAUCCAAGAGGAUCCUAAAGGAUUGGAUGACGCUGGAUAUUGCAGGAGAGUCAGGUAGUCUGACGGUGGGAAGGCAAUACAGCACAGUUCUGGUCCUGGAAGGCCUCUGCCAGGUAAAGAAUUCUGGACUUGGGACAGUAAAAAGGCAAGGGACUGAAUAGUGGAAAGAGGCACAGGGAGUGCAAACCUGGGCACAAGGUAGGUUGGAGACUGUCACCAUGAUCUAGGCAAGGCUGAAUCAGUAGGAGUCAGCCCCCUUGAGGGGAAGGCAAGGGACACUGGUGACUACUUCCAGACAGAAUACACAGAGGGUUUUGAGACUGGAAUGGCUCCAGUGUUUUUGGCUUGGGCAACAGGUGGUGCCAUUUCCCCAGAGGUGGCACCUUCAGGGUCAAACAGGUCCCAGCUGAGGUCCCCAAAGAACAAACAAAAGGGAAAGCAUCUCAGCCCCCACGUGAAGAAGCAGAACUGCCGCACACAGCAUUCCACAGUUUAUACAAAACUUGUGUUGAAACAGAGGCAGCAAGGACACAGGUGCUGCGGGGGCGGAGUGCCGGGGACUGCCAUCUGGAGAGGAGCAAGCUGCUUAGAGAGGGCUUUGAAAACCUCACCAUGGAGGCGAGGCUGGACACAGAAAACCCAAAACAACCAAACAAGCAAGGAUGCCACACAUUGAAACUAGCAACAGCAGGAAUUUAGAAGAAAAGGUAUACAAGGAUAUUUUAGAGAAUUUGUGUUACAUACACACAUGUGUAUGUCUAUAUAUUCUGAAAUGCUUAUCAUAUAUAUAUAUAUAUAUAUAUAUAUAUAUAUAUUUCUGCACACAUACAUAUAUAUAGAAGAAUCACCUUCAAUUCUUGAAAGCAAAAUAGAAAGAAGUUUCUGCCUUCUAAAAAUUUAAGAAAACCUUAUUAUUAAACAAAAACAAGAAAAUGACUGCCAAAUGAAGUGGAUUCAAUCCAAAGUAUGUAUGGGCACAGAGCCAAGCCAUCCAAGUACAGACACUGGAGGACAGACCAUCUUCCCCAACACAGUGUCGAGCUCCUGAUGAUUUCAUGGAGUGGCCCUCUGUGGGUGGAUGGAUAGAUGGACAUGGUGUUUGAUCUGACCAAGGAUGGAGAGAGAUGUUGAGUUUUCUGCAAAGUCUUCUCUUUCACUCAUGAUUGAAUCUCUAAUUUUUUUUUUUGAGACAGGGCUUCUCUGUGUAGCUUUGUAGGCCAGGCUGGCUUCAAACUCACAAAGAUCCACCUGCCUCUGCCUCCCAAGUGUGGGGGUUAAAGGCAUGCACUGCCACCACCACCCGAUAAAUCUCUGAUUUUUAACUUGGUACAUGGCUGUCUGGGACUGUGACUAUAUUUAUCUGUUUACUGUUUGUCUUGAUUCCACUUUGGUGCUCUUUCAAAUAAUGCUGCCGUGUUCAUGUGCAAGUCUUUAGGUGGACACAGCCCCGUGAGUCUUGAGUAGAGAGCCCAGAGUAGGCCUGCUAGUUGGGGGAGCUUAUGGCAUGGCUUUGUGGGGAAGCAUGGGGAAGUCUCAGAAAUGUGGUCCACAGCUGCUGCUCCGUUUCUUUUGAUGAGCUAACUUUGCAAGGCUGGCUGUUUUCUUAAAGAGAGAGUGCAGCUGCCUUCUUGGUGACUGAAUGUGAACAGAAGACAAGUUUUGAACUGUCUUGGGCAAGAAGGGAAGAAAUGCACUUUGAGCCUGGAGGAACAGCAAGCUAGCUGGAGUCAGGGCAACAGAGGCUCCAAACUUCACUAGGGUUUCCUGUCACUUGCAUUGGAAUCUAAUCCUAAUGUAUGUGGUUGUCAUGGGCUUGGCGAUACCUCUAUAGAACCAAAGAAGAGCAGAGAAAGUUGCUCAGAAAUGGAGGAGCUGGUCAAGGAAUAGACAGACAACCUGGAUGUCACCUGUGCCUGUGCUCUGGAGUCAUCCAUCCUAUCACAGGUAGCAUUGUUUUCUUUCUGAAAGGUCUGUCUUUUCGAAGAUGGCCAAAGAGGAAUUCAGAACCACCAGAUUAUAAUACUGAGUGAUGAGUAAACUGUCAUCUAGAGCCACAUUGUCACCCUGAGCUCUGAGAAAAGAUGCAGCAGCUCAUGAGACUACUGAAGGGAGCUGUUAGACACAACUGGUGACUGAUAUUUGGACAAUUCCACCUCACAGACCCUAACCUUAUCUGCCCUACUUUUAGGAAGCCCACUCUGUUGGAACAUGAGUAGUAACCAGAAUGGGUUGCAUGUGGAGAUUAUUAGAGGAAAAUACAGCAGAAGAGAAAUGAUUCCAGACAACAGAGAAUGAGCUCAGGCAUAUAGCAUCCAAAGGAGAUGCGGUUGAAUUAGAAGAGCUAAGCAAGAAAAUAGAGAAAAAUAAAACCAUGACAAAGUAAUGUAACCAGUCCCGAGGCACUAGGAGGAUGUGGAUUUCACCCGCAGCUAAAUCUCUCAUUGACAAGCAAUAAUUCUAUGCGUGUAUAGGCACAGUGUGAUGCUUGAGUCAAUAUCCCGGGAAGACAGUAGAAAGCUCUGAGACUUGGAAUCAGAAGAGUGACUAUCUCCAUAUUUGCCGAUUAAAACUAUAUGAUCUAGCUCCUAUUGAGGUUUUUUGAGACAAGGUCUGACCAGAUAGCCCUGGCUGACCUGGAAGUCACUACAUAGACCAGACUGGCUUCAAACUUCCAGCAAUCCUCUGGCUUCUACAUACUGGAAUUACAGGUGUGUGUCAGUGCAUUCCAGCAUGGGUUUAAUUUUCC